UUUUAUGAGUGUGUAGCAUACCACUCUUAUAAGGGAGAGGCUACGAGGUAUUUAGGAAUGUUUCCCUUUCUUGUGAUCUACUCUUCGAGCUAUAGAGUCUAAGUUCAUGAAACAUCCUUUAAUUUAUCUAUGUUUUCUUUUCAGAUCAUGCCUCCCAGAAGUUCUGAUGCUCAUGGAAAUUUUUCUGUGUCAUUUGAGGACAAUGUAGCUAGAACCCAUUCUACCCCUAG
RNAcentral lists this long non-coding RNA (230 nucleotides) under Capsicum annuum. RNAcentral's name for it is "long non-coding RNA (CANN_LNC019291)". Lineage: Eukaryota; Viridiplantae; Streptophyta; Magnoliopsida; Solanales; Solanaceae. The record is from RNAcentral.